Molecule: non-coding RNA, 20 nt
Filed under: Arabidopsis thaliana (thale cress)
Lineage: Eukaryota; Viridiplantae; Streptophyta; Magnoliopsida; Brassicales; Brassicaceae
Source: RNAcentral
AGGUGUCUUGCGGUUGUGCA